RNAcentral lists this ribosomal RNA (253 nucleotides) under uncultured bacterium. RNAcentral describes it as "partial 16S ribosomal RNA". It matches the Rfam family "Bacterial small subunit ribosomal RNA", at positions 524 to 776 of the family's 1533-position model. The record is from RNAcentral.
UACGGAGGAUGCAAGCGUUAUCCGGAAUGAUUGGGCGUAAAGCGUCCGCAGGUGGCAAUGUAAGUCUGCUGUCAAAGCGUCUGGCUCAACCAGAUAAAGGCAGUGGAAACUACAUAGCUAGAGUAAGGUAGGGGUAGAGGGAAUUCCUGGUGUAGCGGUGAAAUGCGUAGAGAUCAGGAAGAACACCGGUGGCGAAAGCGAUCUGCUGGACCUUAACUGACACUGAGGGACGAAAGCUAGGGGAGCGAAUGGG